Molecule: ribosomal RNA, 507 nt
Filed under: uncultured bacterium
Lineage: Bacteria
Description: bacterial SSU rRNA
Rfam family: Bacterial small subunit ribosomal RNA
Source: RNAcentral
GCGGCGUGCCUAAUACAUGCAAGUCGAACGGUCUUUCUAUGGAAGCUUGCUUCCACUGAGAAGAUAGUGGCGAACGGGUGAGUAACACGUGGGUAACCUGCCCAUAAGAGGGGGAUAACAUCCGGAAACGGGUGCUAAUACCGCAUAGUUUUCUUGAUCGCAUGAUCGGGAAAGGAAAGACGGCCUUUGUGCUGUCGCUUAUGGAUGGACCCGCGGCGUAUUAGUUAGUUGGUGAGGUAACGGCUCACCAAGACGAUGAUACGUAGCCGACCUGAGAGGGUGAUCGGCCACAUUGGGACUGAGACACGGCCCAAACUCCUACGGGAGGCAGCAGUAGGGAAUCUUCCGCAAUGGACGAAAGUCUGACGGAGCAACGCCGCGUGAGUGAAGAAGGUUUUCGGGAAUCGUAAAACUCUGUUGUCAGAGAAGAACAAGUUGGAGAGUAACUGCUCCAGCCUUGACGGUAUCUGACCAGAAAGCCACGGCUAACUACGUGCCAGCAGCUGC